GGGUUGUGAGGUUAAGCGACUAAGCGUACACGGUGGAUGCCCUGGCAGUCAGAGGCGAUGAAGGACGUGCUAAUCUGCGAUAAGCGUCGGUAAGGUGAUAUGAACCGUUAUAACCGGCGAUUUCCGAAUGGGGAAACCCAGUGUGUUUCGACACACUAUCAUUAACUGAAUCCAUAGGUUAAUGAGGCGAACCGGGGGAACUGAAACAUCUAAGUACCCCGAGGAAAAGAAAUCAACCGAGAUUCCCCCAGUAGCGGCGAGCGAACGGGGAGCAGCCCAGAGCCUGAAUCAGUGUGUGUGUUAGUGGAAGCGUCUGGAAAGGCGCGCGAUACAGGGUGACAGCCCCGUACACAAAAAUGCACAUAUUGUGAGCUCGAUGAGUAGGGCGGGACACGUGGUAUCCUGUCUGAAUAUGGGGGGACCAUCCUCCAAGGCUAAAUACUCCUGACUGACCGAUAGUGAACCAGUACCGUGAGGGAAAGGCGAAAAGAACCCCGGCGAGGGGAGUGAAAAAGAACCUGAAACCGUGUACGUACAAGCAGUGGGAGCACGCUUAGGCGUGUGACUGCGUACCUUUUGUAUAAUGGGUCAGCGACUUAUAUUCUGUAGCAAGGUUAACCGAAUAGGGGAGCCGAAGGGAAACCGAGUCUUAACUGGGCGUUAAGUUGCAGGGUAUAGACCCGAAACCCGGUGAUCUAGCCAUGGGCAGGUUGAAGGUUGGGUAACACUAACUGGAGGACCGAACCGACUAAUGUUGAAAAAUUAGCGGAUGACUUGUGGCUGGGGGUGAAAGGCCAAUCAAACCGGGAGAUAGCUGGUUCUCCCCGAAAGCUAUUUAGGUAGCGCCUCGUGAAUUCAUCUCCGGGGGUAGAGCACUGUUUCGGCAAGGGGGUCAUCCCGACUUACCAACCCGAUGCAAACUGCGAAUACCGGAGAAUGUUAUCACGGGAGACACACGGCGGGUGCUAACGUCCGUCGUGAAGAGGGAAACAACCCAGACCGCCAGCUAAGGUCCCAAAGUCAUGGUUAAGUGGGAAACGAUGUGGGAAGGCCCAGACAGCCAGGAUGUUGGCUUAGAAGCAGCCAUCAUUUAAAGAAAGCGUAAUAGCUCACUGGUCGAGUCGGCCUGCGCGGAAGAUGUAACGGGGCUAAACCAUACACCGAAGCUGCGGCAGCGACGCUGAUGCGUUGUUGGGUAGGGGAGCGUUCUGUAAGCCUGUGAAGGUGCGCUGUGAGGCAUGCUGGAGGUAUCAGAAGUGCGAAUGCUGACAUAAGUAACGAUAAAGCGGGUGAAAAGCCCGCUCGCCGGAAGACCAAGGGUUCCUGUCCAACGUUAAUCGGGGCAGGGUGAGUCGACCCCUAAGGCGAGGCCGAAAGGCGUAGUCGAUGGGAAACAGGUUAAUAUUCCUGUACUUGGUGUUACUGCGAAGGGGGGACGGAGAAGGCUAUGUUGGCCGGGCGACGGUUGUCCCGGUUUAAGCGUGUAGGCUGGUUUUCCAGGCAAAUCCGGAAAAUCAAGGCUGAGGCGUGAUGACGAGGCACUACGGUGCUGAAGCAACAAAUGCCCUGCUUCCAGGAAAAGCCUCUAAGCAUCAGGUAACAUCAAAUCGUACCCCAAACCGACACAGGUGGUCAGGUAGAGAAUACCAAGGCGCUUGAGAGAACUCGGGUGAAGGAACUAGGCAAAAUGGUGCCGUAACUUCGGGAGAAGGCACGCUGAUAUGUAGGUGAAGUCCCUCGCGGAUGGAGCUGAAAUCAGUCGAAGAUACCAGCUGGCUGCAACUGUUUAUUAA
Molecule: ribosomal RNA, 1793 nt
Filed under: Escherichia coli
Lineage: Bacteria; Pseudomonadati; Pseudomonadota; Gammaproteobacteria; Enterobacterales; Enterobacteriaceae
Description: partial 23S ribosomal RNA
Rfam family: Bacterial large subunit ribosomal RNA
Source: RNAcentral